Molecule: long non-coding RNA, 216 nt
Filed under: Brachypodium distachyon (stiff brome)
Lineage: Eukaryota; Viridiplantae; Streptophyta; Magnoliopsida; Poales; Poaceae
Description: long non-coding RNA (BDIS_LNC003593)
Source: RNAcentral
CACAUUGUGCUUCCAGAUCUCGCCGAUCAGGCUGGAGCCGGUGCCUGCCUCCACGUCCUCCACAUCAGGACUAAAUUUGUUUGUGGAUGUCUUUGUAUUGGUGAAAUGAUGAAUUAGUUUAGGAUUAGUUUAUGUUGAUACGAAGAUCCGGUGAUGUUUUAUGCCUCCUGUGCAUGGGGAUGGGAUUUGACGAUUUGUUCAAUUUGUGCAAAGUAG